UACAAAAUACAAAUUAUGCAUA
This 22-nucleotide non-coding RNA is filed under the name Arabidopsis thaliana (thale cress). Lineage: Eukaryota; Viridiplantae; Streptophyta; Magnoliopsida; Brassicales; Brassicaceae. The record is from RNAcentral.